CCACAACAAGACACCAGAAGGGUGCAGGAAGUUCAGGAACUAAUGGCCAAGUCAGUCUGAGGCCGCGCAGCUGAGAUAAGGCCUAGGUCUGGUCCAGAGUCUCCGAGUGCCGCUUGGUUCUUCCAUCAGGAUCCAGUCCAGGUUCCGCAACAGAUCAAUGGAUGAAUAGCAAUCUGGAUAGAUGGGUUGCCUUCUUAAAAGAUCCUCCUGCAAGGUUUAUAUCUGCAGAACUGAGAGAAAUUGCUGUAAUAUAGAACAUCAUCAAUGCAUUUUUCAAAUGGUAAAUGAUUCUUCAUAUAAUAAAAAG
Molecule: long non-coding RNA, 307 nt
Filed under: Mustela putorius furo (domestic ferret)
Lineage: Eukaryota; Metazoa; Chordata; Mammalia; Carnivora; Mustelidae
Description: lncRNA (ENSMPUG00000029452.1)
Source: RNAcentral